Molecule: long non-coding RNA, 1060 nt
Filed under: Vulpes vulpes (red fox)
Lineage: Eukaryota; Metazoa; Chordata; Mammalia; Carnivora; Canidae
Description: lncRNA (ENSVVUG00000021874.1)
Source: RNAcentral
CAAAUGUGCAGUCGUUAUGAAAGACAUGACUGCAUCUACUCAUAGAAAGGCAAGUAGUGCACUCGAUGACCGCCUCUCCAAGACAGACACAGAAAGAGAUGUCACUCCUCAGACAACAGUGCCUUCAAAAGAUUUCCAAAAGGAGCUGGUCACGGGCAAAUUCACACAUCCAGAACCUGGCUUUUCCUCCAAGAUACCAGUAUGCUACACAUUACAUUACAAGAAUCGGGGCUAAUACCUUUAUCCUGUAAAACAAUGCAAUCCCUUCCUAAUUGUAACUGGAAAUUGUACCAAAGUUAUCAUUUGUGCUCAGUGAGUUUGUGAAUUAAUUCAUUAUGCUGUUAAAAUCCCAGCGUCUCUUAUCACCUGCCGCUUUGAAGACUCCGGUUGCAUUACCAGCGCUGCCCCAUCAGCUGCCAACUGCAUGAGCUGGAGGCGGCUAAGAAGUGAAUCCUUGAGCUGAGAAAUUCCACCUAGGGGAGGAGACGCAGCUUUGACUUGCAAACAUGGCCCAGGAACCCAGCAGAGCUAUCUGGAGAACCACCUGAAUCAUCGAUCCAUAAAACCAUCAUGAAAGUCAAUGUCUCCUCCAGCACAGAUCAGAGUCAGGCUUAGAUGAAAUGCCGUCGGUAAUGAUAGCCCUGUUCUCUGAGCGUGGACAAGACUAGGGAUCAGUUGUACCUUAUGUGAAGGAAGCCUUGUGCAAACACUAACCUGAAAAUAGUAGUCAGGAAAGCCAAGCCAGCCUUUGUUUUGAAAUCCUUUCCUAAAUAUAUGUGACUUCUGCAUUUAAAGUUUGAUGUUACCUUUGAGGAAAUAAGCCAGCAUCGCUGAUUAAAAGAAUAUUUAUUUUCUACAAUGCCACCAUAAGCCGCAUACAUUUGCCUGGCUGCCAAGCGAUAAUUAAUUUCCUAGUGUGCACUGCCUGUCUCGAGACUUCCAUGGAGCCACCUAGUAUUUCUCAUUAAAAUGAAUCCUGAAGGCACUUUGUUAUUGUUUAGUCUCAGAAAAAUAUUGACAAGGGUUUUCUUUUUCCCUCCAUCAACAUCAUUGUUUUAUA